AUGCAAACACUCAACCGGUUGCAUGAUCCCAUUAUAGAGGAGCGGAUCCGCGAAAGGUCAUCCACUCUUGAGAAAUGUGGUGAAAAGAAAGAGGCAAGAGACUUUUUGGAUGUCCUGGUUCAUCUUAAAGAUGCAGAGGGACAGCCAUUGCUGUCCCUACAAGAAAUUAGAGCACAAACAGCGGAAAUGAUGUUUGCAGCAGUCGAUAACCCAUCUAAUGCGGUUGAGUGGGCACUCGCUGAGAUGAUGAACUUGCCAGAGAUCAUGCAAAAAGCAACCGAGGAACUUGAUGUUGUCGUUGGUAAAGAUAGACUAGUGCAGGAGUCUGACAUUCCUCAGCUAAACUAUCUCAAAUCGUGCAUCCGGGAGGCCUUCCGCUUACACCCAUACCAUGCUCUUAACAUACCCCAUGUCGCCAUGGCGGACACAACUAUUGCUGGAUACACCAUCCCCAAGGAUAGCCACAUACUUUUAAGCCGGCUUGGACUUGGCCGCAAUCCCAAGAUCUGGACUGAACCACUGGAGUUUCAGCCUGAGAGGCAUUUGAACACUGCGAAUGUACUUCUCACUGAUCCAGGCCUACGUUUCAUUUAA
RNAcentral lists this ribosomal RNA (594 nucleotides) under Triticum aestivum (bread wheat). RNAcentral describes it as "partial small subunit ribosomal RNA". Lineage: Eukaryota; Viridiplantae; Streptophyta; Magnoliopsida; Poales; Poaceae. The record is from RNAcentral.